This 85-nucleotide transfer RNA is filed under the name Beijerinckiaceae bacterium. RNAcentral's name for it is "tRNA-Gln". The record is from RNAcentral. Lineage: Bacteria; Pseudomonadati; Pseudomonadota; Alphaproteobacteria; Hyphomicrobiales; Beijerinckiaceae.
CGGCCUGUUCCCGAACAGGAAAGAUCGGUAAGGCAGCGGAUUUUGAUUCCGCCAUGCGGAGGUUCGAAUCCUCCCACCCCAGCCA